CGGACGGGUGAGUAACACGUGGAUAACCUACCUAUAAGACUGGGAUAACUUCGGGAAACCGGAGCUAAUACCGGAUAAUAUAUUGAACCGCAUGGUUCAAUAGUGAAAGACGGUUUUGCUGUCACUUAUAGAUGGAUCCGCGCCGCAUUAGCUAGUUGGUAAGGUAACGGCUUACCAAGGCAACGAUGCGUAGCCGACCUGAGAUGGUGAUCGGCCACACUGGAACUGAGACACGGUCCAG
Molecule: ribosomal RNA, 241 nt
Filed under: uncultured Staphylococcus sp.
Lineage: Bacteria; Bacillati; Bacillota; Bacilli; Caryophanales; Staphylococcaceae
Description: partial 16S ribosomal RNA
Rfam family: Bacterial small subunit ribosomal RNA
Source: RNAcentral